RNAcentral lists this ribosomal RNA (482 nucleotides) under uncultured bacterium. Its description in RNAcentral is "partial 16S ribosomal RNA". It matches the Rfam family "Bacterial small subunit ribosomal RNA", at positions 28 to 523 of the family's 1533-position model. The record is from RNAcentral.
GAUGAACGCUGGCGGCGUGCUUAACACAUGCAAGUCGAACGGUGAAGGAGAGCUUGCUCUCCGGAUCAGUGGCGAACGGGUGAGUAACACGUGAGCAAUCUGCCCCUGACUCUGGGAUAAGCGCUGGAAACGGCGUCUAAUACCGGAUACGAGCUGCGAAGGCAUCUUCAGCAGCUGGAAAGAACUUCGGUCAGGGAUGAGCUCGCGGCCUAUCAGCUAGUUGGUGAGGUAAUGGCUCACCAAGGCGUCGACGGGUAGCCGGCCUGAGAGGGUGACCGGCCACACUGGGACUGAGACACGGCCCAGACUCCUACGGGAGGCAGCAGUGGGGAAUAUUGCACAAUGGGCGCAAGCCUGAUGCAGCAACGCCGCGUGAGGGACGACGGCCUUCGGGUUGUAAACCUUUUUUAGCAGGGAAGAAGCGAAAGUGACGGUACCUGCAGAAAAAGCACCGGCUAACUACGUGCCAGCCGCCGCGGUAA